RNAcentral lists this ribosomal RNA (274 nucleotides) under uncultured bacterium. RNAcentral's name for it is "partial 16S ribosomal RNA". It matches the Rfam family "Bacterial small subunit ribosomal RNA", at positions 523 to 796 of the family's 1533-position model. The record is from RNAcentral.
AUACGGAGGGUGCAAGCGUUAUCCGGAUUUAUUGGGUUUAAAGGGUUCGUAGGCGGAUCAAUAAGUCAGUGGUGAAAGCCUGUGGCUCAACCAUAGAACUGCCAUUGAUACUGUUGAUCUUGAGUACACUUGAAGUGGGCGGAAUGCGUCAUGUAGCGGUGAAAUGCAUAGAUAUGACGCAGAACACCGAUUGCGAAGGCAGCUCACUAAAUUGUAACUGACGCUGAGGAACGAAAGCGUGGGGAGCGAACAGGAUUAGAAACCCUUGUAGUCC